AAAUUGAAGAGUUUGAUCAUGGCUCAGAUUGAACGCUGGCGGCAGGCCUAACACAUGCAAGUCGAACGGUAACAGGAAGCAGCUUGCUGCUUCGCUGACGAGUGGCGGACGGGUGAGUAAUGUCUGGGAAACUGCCUGAUGGAGGGGGAUAACUACUGGAAACGGUGGCUAAUACCGCAUAACGUCGCAAGACCAAAGAGGGGGACCUUCGGGCCUCUUGCCAUCAGAUGUGCCCAGAUGGGAUUAGCUUGUUGGUGAGGUAACGGCUCACCAAGGCGACGAUCCCUAGCUGGUCUGAGAGGAUGACCAGCCACACUGGAACUGAGACACGGUCCAGACUCCUACGGGAGGCAGCAGUGGGGAAUAUUGCACAAUGGGCGCAAGCCUGAUGCAGCCAUGCCGCGUGUAUGAAGAAGGCCUUCGGGUUGUAAAGUACUUUCAGCGGGGAGGAAGGUGUUGUGGUUAAUAACCGCAGCA
Molecule: ribosomal RNA, 477 nt
Filed under: Salmonella enterica subsp. enterica serovar Enteritidis
Lineage: Bacteria; Pseudomonadati; Pseudomonadota; Gammaproteobacteria; Enterobacterales; Enterobacteriaceae
Description: bacterial SSU rRNA
Rfam family: Bacterial small subunit ribosomal RNA
Source: RNAcentral